Molecule: ribosomal RNA, 253 nt
Filed under: uncultured bacterium
Lineage: Bacteria
Description: partial 16S ribosomal RNA
Rfam family: Bacterial small subunit ribosomal RNA
Source: RNAcentral
UACAGAGGCCUCUAGCGUUAGGCGGAAUCACUGGGCUUAAAGCGUGUGUAGGUGGAUGCCUAAGUGCCUUGUGAAAUCCCACGGCUCAACCGUGGAAUUGCUGGGCAUACUGGGUGUCUUGAGCCAUCCAGGGGUCGCUGGAACAAACGGUGGAGCGGUGAAAUGCGUAGAUAUCGUUUGGAACGCCAAUGGUGAAAACAGGCGACUGGGGAUGAGCUGACACUGAGACACGAAAGCCAGGGGAGCAAACGGG